AUUGAACGCUGGCGGCAUGCUUUACACAUGCAAGUCGAACGGGCUUGGGGGCUUGCUCCCAAGUUAGUGGCGAACGGGUGAGUAAUACAUCGGAACGUACCGUGUAGUGGGGGAUAACGUAGCGAAAGUUACGCUAAUACCGCAUACGAUCUACGGAUGAAAGCAGGGGACCUUCGGGCCUUGUGCUAUACGAGCGGCCGAUGUCUGAUUAGCUGGUUGGUGAGGUAAAGGCUCACCAAGGCGACGAUCAGUAGCGGGUCUGAGAGGAUGAUCCGCCACACUGGGACUGAGACACGGCCCAGACUCCUACGGGAGGCAGCAGUGGGGAAUUUUGGACAAUGGGCGAAAGCCUGAUCCAGCCAUGCCGCGUGUCUGAAGAAGGCCUUCGGUUGUAAGGAC
RNAcentral lists this ribosomal RNA (399 nucleotides) under uncultured bacterium. Its description in RNAcentral is "bacterial SSU rRNA". It matches the Rfam family "Bacterial small subunit ribosomal RNA", at positions 30 to 433 of the family's 1533-position model. The record is from RNAcentral.